Molecule: ribosomal RNA, 2185 nt
Filed under: human gut metagenome
Description: bacterial LSU rRNA
Rfam family: Bacterial large subunit ribosomal RNA
Source: RNAcentral
AAGCAAGGGUAAAGCCUUGUGGAGGACCGAACCGUCAACGGCUGAAAACGUUCCGGAUGACUUGUGGAUAGGGGUGAAAGGUCAAUCAAACCCGGUGAUAGCUGGUUCUCCCCGAAAUAUAUUGAGGUAUAGCCUCGGGAAUUGAUUAGCGGAGGUAAAGCACUGACAGAGCUAGGGGUCCUACCAGAUUACCAAACUCUAUCAAACUCAGAAUGCCGCUUAAUUGUAUCCCGGGAGUCAGACGGCGGGUGCGAAGGUUCGUCGUCAAAAGGGAAACAGCCCAGACCAACAGCUAAGGUCUCCAAAUCCAUGCUCAGUGGUGAAGGUAGUGGAACCGUUUAGACAGCCAGGACGUUGGCUUAGAAGCAGCCAUCGUUUAAAGAAAGCGUAAUAGCUCACUGGUCUAAUGGCUCUGCGCCGAAAAUGUAACGGGGCUAAGCAUGGUACCGAAGCUUUGGCAAUCCCCUUUGGGGAUUGGGUAGGGGAGCGUUCGCUGCGGGCUGAAGGUGUAUCGGAAGGUAUGCUGGACUGCAGUGAAGUGAUUAUGCUGACAUGAGUAACGAUAAAAUAUGUGAAAAACAUAUUCGCCGAAAACCCGAGGUUUCCUGGGUAAAGGUAAUCUUCCCAGGGUUAGUCGGAUCCUAAGGUGAGGGUGAAAGCCGUAACCGAUGGAAAACAGGUUAAUAUUCCUGUACUUGUUGUGUAGCGCGAUGGAGGGACGCAGGAAGAUAGGCGGGCCGGGUGUUGGAUAUCCCGGUGCAAGCGUGUAGGAAUAUCCGGUAGGCAAAUCCGCCGGACGAAUCUGAGACGCGAGUCCGUGGGCGCAAGCCCUGAAGCCGUUGAGUCUAUGCUGCCUAGAAAAGCUCCUAAGUUUAUCCACAGCAAUCCGUACCGCAAACCAACUCAGGUGGGUGGGAUGAACAAUCCAAGGCGCUCGAGAGAACUCUGGCCAAGGAACUCGGCAAAAUAACCCCGUAACUUCGGAAGAAGGGGUGCUCUCUAGGGUGACAUGUUUAACAUAUGAAGCCCCGGGGAGCCGCAGUGAAUUGGUGGUGGCGACUGUUUACUAAAAACAUAGGUCUGUGCGAAGUCCUAAAGACGACGUAUACGGACUGACGCCUGCCCGGUGCUGGAAGGUUAAAAGGAGGGGUCAGCGCAAGCAAAGCUCCGAAUUGAAGCCCCAGUAAACGGCGGCCGUAACUAUAACGGUCCUAAGGUAGCGAAAUUCCUUGUCGGGUAAGUUCCGACCUGCACGAAUGGCGUAACGAUCUCCACACUGUCUCGGCCAGAGACUCGGUGAAAUUGCAGUCGCGGUGAAAAUUCCGUGUACCCGCAGAAAGACGGAAAGACCCUGUGCACCUUUACUAUAGCUUGACAUUGGAUUUUGGGCCUGCAUGUGUAGGAUAGGUGGGAGGCUGUGAACCCUGUACGCCAGUAUGGGGGGAGCCAUCCUUGAAAUACCACCCUUGCAUGUUUAAGAUCCUAACUUCUUCCGGUUAUCCCGGAGAAAGACAGUGUCUGGCGGGUAGUUUGACUGGGGCGGUCGCCUCCUAAAGUGUAACGGAGGCAUGCAAAGGUUCCCUCAGCCUGAUCGGAAACCAGGCGCUGAGUGCAAACGCAUAAGGGAGCUUGACUGUAAGAGAGACAUCUCGAACAGGAACGAAAGUUGGCGUUAGUGAUCCGGUGGUCCCGAAUGGAAGGGCCAUCGCUCAUUGGAUAAAAGGUACGCCGGGGAUAACAGGCUGAUCGCAUCCAAGAGUUCACAUCGACGAUGCGGUUUGGCACCUCGAUGUCGGCUCAUCACAUCCUGGGGCUGAAGCAGGUCCCAAGGGUACGGCUGUUCGCCGUUUAAAGUGGUACGCGAGCUGGGUUUAAAACGUCGUGAGACAGUUUGGUCCCUAUCUUCUGUGGGCGAAGGAGAAUUGAGAGGGCCUGUCCCUAGUACGAGAGGACCGGGAUGGACGCACCCCUGGUGAUCCUGUUGUCGCGCCAGCGGCAUAGCAGGGUAGCUAUGUGCGGAAGGGAUAACCGCUGAAAGCAUCUAAGCGGGAAGCCUGCCUCAAGAUAAGUUCUCCCCUCGAAAGAGCUGAAGGGCCCGGGUAGACUACCCGGUCGAUAGGCUGGAGGUGUAAGCGCGGCGACGUGCUCAGCUGACCAGUACUAAUAGCCCGAGCGGCUUAUUUUU